This 700-nucleotide ribosomal RNA is filed under the name Metschnikowia hawaiiana. RNAcentral's name for it is "LSU rRNA". It matches the Rfam family "Eukaryotic large subunit ribosomal RNA", at positions 1 to 763 of the family's 3401-position model. Lineage: Eukaryota; Fungi; Ascomycota; Pichiomycetes; Serinales; Metschnikowiaceae. The record is from RNAcentral.
UCCCCUUCGACCUCAAAUCAAGCAAGACUACCCGCUGAACUUAAGCAUAUCAAUAAGCGGAGGAAAAGAAACCAACAGGGAUUACCUUAGUAACGGCGAGUGAAGCGGUAAAAGCUCAAAUUUGAAAUCCCCCCGGGGAGUUGUAAUUUGAAGGUUUAACUUUUAGGACCAGCGCAAAGUCCAUUGGAACAUGGCGCCACAGAGGGUGAGAGCCCCGUAGGCAACGGUCCGCCUAUAAAGUUAUUCCAAAGAGUCGAGUUGUUUGGGAAUGCAGCUCUAAGUGGGUGGUAAAUUCCAUCUAAAGCUAAAUAUUGGCGAGAGACCGAUAGCGAACAAGUACAGUGAUGGAAAGAUGAAAAGCACUUUGAAAAGAGAGUGAAACAGUACGUGAAAUUGUUGAAAGGGAAGGGCUUGCAAGCAGACACGAUUCUCUCGGGAAUUGGGCCAGCAUCGGUUGCCGGGGGUAGAAAAAAACGCAGAAAUGUGGCACUGGGCUUCGGCCCGGUGUGUUAUAGUCUGACGUUAAUAUACCCACUGGCGACCGAGGCCUGCGUUCUAAACAAGGAUGCUGGCGUAAUGGUUGCAAGUCGCCCGUCUUGAAACACGGACCAAGGAGUCUAACGUCUAUGCGAGUAUUAGGGUGGAUAAAACCCCAUAGUGCGCAAUGAAAGUAAGAGGUUGGACCGCAGGCGCACAAUCG